AUGGAGUUAAAUUUCUUUUAUUUAGCAUUUUUUUUGAUGUUCUGAAACAGACAUAUGCAAUGUAAAAUCCAUAUCACUGGUUGCUCAGGACUAUACACAGGGAAAUGCAUGCUUAGAUUAACGUCAAAGUGGGCCAGUUCCCUACUAAACCAUAUGAAAUGAUAGAUUGAUCCUCUUGGGUGAGUAACUUUAUUUUAGGAACACUAAACCUCCUCUAGACAUGUUCUGUUCCCUCAUGACUGUUGUGUGUAAUUGUUUUCAUGCACAGUACUGACAUUGGUACGGUGUAACAGGGCCCUAGGCCACAUCCCAAGCAAGUCUAACAAGUGAGACAACCCAAAUCAUUAUAUACCACACAGGACAAAAGUUCAAGAGAAUAUAGAUUUAGUUUUCUUCAAUCAACUGAUUUAGUAUAGACAAUAAAAUAAGGAAAUUAUUUAACAGUACGUUGAUUUAACUUUUACUGAGACAUGGAACCAUAUAACCUCUUUCCACUUAAACCCUAUUCCCAGUUCCAUUACCCAUCACAAUCAAAAUGUACAAUAUAAUAGAAGUGAAUAUAGAAUAUCCCAUUAUUCCAGCCAUUUAAAGUUGAAUUCUUGAAUACAUAUUGUUGCUAUAUGAUGAAAUAACACAUGAUAAUGAAGUUCCACAUUAAAAUAUUACAUUAAGCAUCAGUAAAAUACUUGUCUAGGUGCAGGAACCAUAUCACUUGCUUAAAGUUUGCUUUUUCCAUAUCAAGAAAGUAUAUUUUUGUUCACUUUGUAUUGUUAUACAGACUUAAGAAUAGUUACAUACAAGUCUUCUUCUGGAUUUGUCCACGCCAUUGCGUACAUGAUGCCAAUUUAACAUGCACACUAUUACUAGGAUUAAACACACUUUAGUGAAGAUAGCACAUUAAUUAUCAAAAUAUAAAGCUUCUGCACAAAUUGAAAAAGCUUUCACUGAUGCUUGGCCAAUACAAUACAAAUGAUUUGGCAGCCUACUUUAAAAGUAACUCCCAUCCUGACAGAUAUGUAUGAGCAGCUUUGAUGAAAAGAACAACAUAGGAAUGGUUUUAUAUCGAAAGUUUAAGUAAGAAAAAAGUAAAAUGACAGACUUUGAAACAUUUUUAAUAAGUGUACAAUAAACAUUUUACCCCUCCUCCCAAAAUUUAUGCUACCCAAAUCCCAAUCCAGAAAAAGUGCAAAAUAAAUCAAGGUAUUCAAAAUAAAUCAAGGUAUUCAAAAGUAUGAGAUUUAACAUAACAUUUUUAGAAGUCAAAAUUGUCUCCCUUCUUUGCCCCACGCUUUGCUGUUUUCAAAUUCUUUGGACUUAGGUAUAGUACUGUUAUGUCCCAUCAUUGCUGCAGUUUGUGUGUAUAACACAGAGCUAGGGUACCUUAUAUUAAUGUAAUGUUAGAGCAGUAAGACACAUGGUAUAGCAAUGCAGAUUGAAGACCGUAGGUAUCUAGCCUUCUUGCAUCCGAAGGUAGCAUGAACAUUGCAAUUCCCAAUCAAAAGAAGCGAUAAAUCCGUUCAGUCUCAAGACUGUCAAACAAGGCCUGAGGAAAAUGAGUCACCUUCAUGCACCAGAAAAUGUUUCUUUAGUUUUGCAAUUUUUUUAAAAUUUUUUAAAUUUUGUAAUUUUUUUUUUUUUUUUGCAUUUCAUUCCUGUUUCAAGAUGCAGCUGAAAAAACCUCAAGCAAAGACACGGCAGUGAGUUUAUACCCGAAACACCUGGACUUCCAUAAUUAGAUGCAAUAUAUAUCUGUAUAUAUGUCUUUUAUAUAUAUAUAUUUAUAUGUAUAUAUAGAUGUAGAUGCUUAUCGGCACAGGACAAAGACAUCACAGGGUAGCAGGCAUAGAGGUGUCAGAGUCCCAUAAAAAAAGAUUUAUCUUUGCCGCUGAAAUUACAAAACCCAUCUUGAAAGGGGGGCUUCAUGUGAGAAGAAUAAAGCAAGUAAGUAUAUAUAUAUUUAAAUCUCAACACUGUCAUAUGGACAUGGAAGUGUUGUUUUGUGUCAUACAUGCAGUACACACAGUUCAUGUAUAUUUCCACAAACUGUACAUGCAGGUGUGAAUGCCGUGUGCAUGAAGAGUGUGCUUGCAUGACCAGUUGGCAUCUGUUGACGGAUGAAAUAUUCCAGUUAUGAACAGAAAACCCU
Pelobates cultripes (western spadefoot toad) is the source of this 2146-nucleotide non-coding RNA. The record is from the annotation of a GenBank genome assembly. Lineage: Eukaryota; Metazoa; Chordata; Amphibia; Anura; Pelobatidae.